CGAGAGGUAGCUCAACAGGCUAGCAGAGCGCCGGUUUCAUACGCCGGAGGUUGUAGGUUCGAUCCCUACCCUCUCGACCA
Molecule: transfer RNA, 80 nt
Filed under: Acidithiobacillus ferridurans
Lineage: Bacteria; Pseudomonadati; Pseudomonadota; Acidithiobacillia; Acidithiobacillales; Acidithiobacillaceae
Also listed under: 1 other name
Description: tRNA-Met
Rfam family: tRNA
About the family: Transfer RNA (tRNA) molecules are approximately 80 nucleotides in length.
Source: RNAcentral